RNAcentral lists this non-coding RNA (113 nucleotides) under Tumebacillus sp. RNAcentral's name for it is "SAM-I sequence". It matches the Rfam family "SAM riboswitch aptamer (S box leader)". From Rfam's summary of the family: The SAM riboswitch is found upstream of a number of genes which code for proteins involved in methionine or cysteine biosynthesis in Gram-positive bacteria. The record is from RNAcentral. Lineage: Bacteria; Bacillati; Bacillota; Bacilli; Caryophanales; Alicyclobacillaceae.
CUCUUAUCAAGAGUAGGCGGAGGGACUGGCCCGAUGAUGCCACGGCAACCGACACGAUUUUUGUGCACGGUGCCAAUUCCAACAGGUUGCGUAGGCAGCCUGAGAGAUGAGAG